This 492-nucleotide ribosomal RNA is filed under the name uncultured bacterium. RNAcentral's name for it is "partial 16S ribosomal RNA". It matches the Rfam family "Bacterial small subunit ribosomal RNA", at positions 29 to 507 of the family's 1533-position model. The record is from RNAcentral.
AGUUAACGCUGGCGGUAGGCCUAACACAUGCAAGUCGAACGGCAGCACAGUAAGAGCUUGCUCUUACGGGUGGCGAGUGGCGGACGGGUGAGGAAUACAUCGGAAUCUACUUUUUCGUGGGGGAUAACGUAGGGAAACUUACGCUAAUACCGCAUACGACCUACGGGUGAAAGCAGGGGAUCUUCGGACCUUGCGCGAUUGAAUGAGCCGAUGUCGGAUUAGCUAGUUGGCGGGGUAAAGGCCCACCAAGGCGACGAUCCGUAGCUGGUCUGAGAGGAUGAUCAGCCACACUGGAACGGAGACACGGUCCAGACUCCUACGGGAGGCAGCAGUGGGGAAUAUUGGACAAUGGGCGCAAGCCUGAUCCAGCCAUACCGCGUGGGUGAAGAAGGCCUUCGGGUUGUAAAGCCCUUUUGUUGGGAAAGAAAAGCAGCAGGUUAAUACCCCGCUGUUCUGACGGUACCCAAAGAAUAAGCACCGGCUAACUUCGUG